AACUAGUGAAAAGAAAGGAAGCCAUUGGUGAAUGGUGAGCAAAACGUUACCCUUCUCUCUGAACUCGAAGCUUUGCCUCUGGCUACAGCCUACAGGCAUCCCUCAUUGCGAACUAGUUUCGCUUUCGGGUCAUUGAUCUUUAUUUUCUUCCUCUUAUUCUUUUAAUUGGAAAAUUUAAAGAUUUUUCAACAAAGAUAUAAUGAAGAUUGGAAGCUGUGGUGGCAUUACUAGACCCAGUUUUUUGCUUGUACAUGCAGAUUUGCCCAUUUUUGCAUAUCAUAAACUGCAGUUGAAACCAGUGCCACCUCUUGGGAUUCCUAUUGACUACAUGAAGGGGAUUGGCUUAAUUACAAAAUUUCGGUGUUCUGUUGCUGAGAGAACAUUCACAUUUAGCUCUGAGGAUUCAUUUGCAUCCAAGAUAAACAAUGUUCGUUUGGGUCAGAAGAAAGGACGUUCCUCCUCACUUUAUACUCAUCCUAGUUUGCUAGACAUGAAAAACAUGAAGGUAGCAAAUCGUGCCAGGGUUUAUGAGUUACUGAGAAGUAUUGGCAUUGUCCCUGAUGAACUUGAUGGGUUGGAACUUCCUGUGACAGUUGAUGUUAUGAGGGAACGUGUGGAUUUCCUUCACCAAUUAGGUCUUACAAUUGAAGACAUUAACAACUAUCCUCUUGUUCUUGGUUGCAGUGUCAAAAAGAACAUGAUUCCUGUUCUUGACUAUCUUGGCAAAUUGGGUGUUAGGAAAUCUUCCUUCACAGAUUUCUUAAGAAGAUACCCACAAGUCCUUCAUGCUAGCGUUGUUGUAGACCUUGCUCCAGUGGUCAAAUAUCUUCAAGGAAUGGAUAUCAAGCCAAAUGAUAUUCCUCGGGUGCUUGAGAGAUACCCAGAAGUUCUGGGAUUCAAGCUUGAAGGGACCAUGAGCACAUCAGUGGCUUAUCUGGUAGGAAUUGGGGUGGCAAGGAGAGAAAUUGGAGGUGUUUUAACCAGAUACCCAGAGAUAUUGGGGAUGCGAGUAGGCCGUGUAAUCAAGCCUUUUGUGGAGUAUCUUGAGAGUUUGGGUAUACCAAGACUAGCUGUAGCUAGAUUGAUAGAGAAGCGGCCACACAUCCUUGGUUUUGGAUUAGAGGAAUUGAUUAAACCAAACGUUGAAGCCCUUCUAGAGAUUAAUGUAAGGAAAACCUCAGUUCCUUCUGUGGUAGCACAAUAUCCUGAGAUUAUUGGAAUUGACCUGAAGGCAAAGCUUCUCAGCCAACAAAGUUUGCUUCAUUCAGUCAUUGAGUUGGGUCCCGAGGAUUUUGCUAGAGUUGUGGAGAAGAUGCCGCAAGUUGUCAGCCUUAGUAGAGUUCCUAUAUUGAAGCAUGUGGACUUCCUUAAGGAUUGUGGGUUUUCCUUGCAACAAGUGGGGGAAAUGGUUGUGGGAUGUCCUCAAGUGCUUGCUUUGAAUAUUGAUGUCAUGAAACUUAGCUUUGAUUACUUUAAAAUGGAGAUGGAAAGACCUUUGGAUGAUUUGGUUACUUUCCCAGCAUUCUUUACAUAUGGUCUCGAGUCUACUAUAAAGCCAAGGCAUAAAAGGAUUGUGAAGAAGGGGCUGAAAUGUUCACUUUCAUGGCUUCUUAAUUGUUCUGAUGCGAAGUUUGAAGAAAGAAUGGACUAUGAGACCAUUGACAUGGAGGAGAUGGAAAUGCCAUCAUUUGACAUGAAUACUUUUAUGGAGCCGAGGAGUGAUGGGUCUGAUUUUGACUAUGAUGAGGACAGUGAAGAUGCGCGUGUAUAGAACUAUGAAUCAACUUUUGGCAAUGGUCUGCCAUGGAGAAUCUUGGCUUUGUGAAAAUGGCUCUUCAUGUGAAGUAGUUGUUAACUUUAGAGGUAAGUUCUUCUUGUUGAAGCAUUUUGUCGAUAUAUCUCAAAUUAAGCAAUGUUAACUAACUAAUAAGAAGGUUAAUUCCUAGGCUAGUGGCAGCGCCUGAGGAAUCAGUCCAUGGGAUGAUUAGGGAGAUUUGGCUUGGUGGGCUUAGGAUGGGGCCCAUGAAGGGGAAUGUUUUGGACUUCCCUCUUGACCUCAUAGUGGAGUUGUGAAUUAGGCCUAAAGGGUGAUAAAAAGACAAAUUUCAAUAUCUGCUAGAUCUUGACACAUGGCACACCAUCAAUGGUCCUAAAGCCCCUACACCUACACUAUAAAUAGCUUUAUUUAUGACAUUUAAGAUAUUCCUUGAACGCAUCAAUCAGAUCAUGACAUCCUUGCAAACAUUCCUUCAUCAUUACUUUACCUAAUAACCCCCAAUCUGUCAUGUACACCAAGUCCACUGGGUGUGCCCAUCGUUCCUCCCACGCCUCUCACUGCUUCAUCUCUCUCUAAGGCAUCCCAAGUAAGACUAACCCUCUCCUCCCAUUUCCCUUAACUACCCUAAGAACCCCUGCAUCUACACAUUUUAAAGUGCAAGAGGAUUUAUACUUUUGUAUUUUCAUGCAGAAUGACUUAGAAUCUGGUGCUUCAAAACAUUUUUGCUUCUAUAUAUAUACUUUUCUUCCAUUGCCUUGCAAUUAUAUUUGAUUUCAAAUGGAAGGACCUUAUUUAUUUGCCACACGGAGUGUGCAUGAACCAUCUUGAUUUUAUUGAUCUGGUUGAUCUUAGAGUUAAUCUAAUGGAAAACAAAUAUGCAUAAUGGCUUGUCACUGUAUUUCAUUAUCAGAAAUAGUAUAAAUGUUCUGUCCAUGAAUCAUGAGGAGGAUAAGAAAGGGAAAAGAGUGGUGGCUACUAGAAUAGUAAUUGUGAUGAACAUGAUUUACGUAAGCAUAGUAGUUUCUUGUGAAUAUUUGAAAUCUGCAUAAAAGAACUUAAUAUGUAAGGUCGAGGAUAAACAGUUUGACAGUGUGAAAGCAAACAGAUUUCUAAGUGAAUUAUUAUUUGAAGGUGGAAUCAUAAUCUUUCAAUUUGAAGACAAAAUGUGCAAAAUGCAAAUAGAUCUAUUUCUUGACUCACUUUCUCCAUGUAGGAAUUAUGAAGCAUUGUUUCAUGGGAAGUUAUUUGAGCAACUAAAGAGAUUGGAUCUAAUAAACCAAAUAUUCUACAAUGAACAUCAAAGGUAGGCUAGGACAAGUAAUGCUGUUUGUGUAUUGUAAUUCAUGGUGUUUCAAUAACGAAAAAAGUUCAGGAUAAUAUAACAAGUUUACUUAACCUUGGUAUAUAUUUUAGUGUUGUAGUUAGUAGGAUCUCUCUGGGUCACACUUAAUUUAACCUAAAUUGUGGGCAUCUGGAUUUGUAUGAGGUUCUGCUGUUGCACUCUUAUGUUGUUUUACCUGUACAUUGUGUUUUUAUCACUGUUGAUUAUUAACAUGAUUGGGACUACUUCUUACAGCUGGUCUUUGGUGGAAUGAACAUUGAGAGUACAUGGGCUGCUUUUGGUGGGCAUUCAGGUUUUGUAAGUAGAUGUGAAGCAAUUGAGAUAGGCACAAUAACAUUAAUCCAAGAUGUUUCCCUCUUUUCUGUAUUAAUAUCAUUUUCCUCCAUGAACGCUUGGUUCCCCUAUGUAAAGAAAAGAAGCAUUUUUCCAACUUGUAAUCCAAAAUUUUGAAGAUUCCUUUACUAUUGUUGGCCUUUAUGCCAUGUUGGUGUGCUUUAUUUAGUGGAAUCAGUUCGUAGGGAUGCUUUCAUAACUUCAACUUUGGUUCGUUUCUUGC
RNAcentral lists this unclassified non-coding RNA (3675 nucleotides) under Hevea brasiliensis (rubber tree). Lineage: Eukaryota; Viridiplantae; Streptophyta; Magnoliopsida; Malpighiales; Euphorbiaceae. The record is from RNAcentral.